This 253-nucleotide ribosomal RNA is filed under the name uncultured bacterium. Its description in RNAcentral is "partial 16S ribosomal RNA". It matches the Rfam family "Bacterial small subunit ribosomal RNA", at positions 524 to 776 of the family's 1533-position model. The record is from RNAcentral.
UACGAAGGGGGCUAGCGUUGCUCGGAAUCACUGGGCGUAAAGCGCACGUAGGCGGCUUUUUAAGUCAGGGGUGAAAUCCUGGAGCUCAACUCCAGAACUGCCUUUGAUACUGAGAAGCUUGAGUCCGGGAGAGGUGAGUGGAACUGCGAGUGUAGAGGUGAAGUUCGUAGAUAUUCGCAAGAACACCAGUGGCGAAGGCGGCUCACUGGCCCGGUACUGACGCUGAGGUGCGAAAGCGUGGGGAGCAAACAGG